CCGACGCUGGCGGCGUGCCUAAUACAUGCAAGUCGAGCGCACUGGCCCAACUGAUAUGACGUGCUUGCACUGAAUUGACGUUGGAUUCCCAGUGAGCGGCGGACGGGUGAGUAACACGUGGGCAACCUGCCCUGAAGCGGGGGAUAACAUCUGGAAACAGGUGCUAAUACCGCAUAACAACGAAAACCACAUGGUUUUCGUUUCAAAGAUGGUUUCGGCUAUCACUUCAGGAUGGGCCCGCGGUGCAUUAGCUAGUUGGUAAGGUAACGGCUUACCAAGGCGAUGAUGCAUAGCCGAGUUGAGAGACUGAUCGGCCACAAUGGAA
This 325-nucleotide ribosomal RNA is filed under the name Limosilactobacillus vaginalis. RNAcentral describes it as "bacterial SSU rRNA". It matches the Rfam family "Bacterial small subunit ribosomal RNA", at positions 32 to 318 of the family's 1533-position model. Lineage: Bacteria; Bacillati; Bacillota; Bacilli; Lactobacillales; Lactobacillaceae. The record is from RNAcentral.